GGGAAUAUGGCUUAGUGAUAGAGUGCUUGCCUAACAUGCAGGAAGCCCUGGGUUCAAUUCCUCAGUACCA
Molecule: non-coding RNA, 70 nt
Organism: Dipodomys ordii (Ord's kangaroo rat)
Lineage: Eukaryota; Metazoa; Chordata; Mammalia; Rodentia; Heteromyidae
Source: Rfam